This is a non-coding RNA of Coffea arabica (coffee), 1298 nucleotides long. NCBI's taxonomy places the organism in Eukaryota, Viridiplantae, Streptophyta, Magnoliopsida, Gentianales, Rubiaceae. The record is from RefSeq and is a predicted model, not a curated record.
CCAGUCUCCUCACCUCCCUUUUUCCAAAACACCUCUAUUUCCUUUUGUCUCAUCCGAGAGUAUGACUGACCGCCUCCAUUCCUUCCAUGGAUUUCCUCCAUUUUUUUCUCUGAAAAAAAGAAAAGAAACAGACUAACAACACACCGCAUCUAUUCUCCCUUUCUUCUAUAUUUUUCCCCUCUUUUAAAGAUUAUUCAAAAAAAAUGAUGCUCAAAACGCACCUUUUAUUCUCUCUCUUUUUUUGCCCUUUUUGCUCCUUACUCUGAGAUAGGAGAACCUCGAAAAUUUGGUCGAUCUUGUUUGCUCAACUGCUCACAUUUGGAUUUUCUUUUUCUGUUUCUGAUCUCCAUUCCUUUUCCUCAUAAACCUAUGAUUUUUUCCCUCUUUCUACACAGAAAAAUUUCUAUUUUCUCUCAAUUAUUUUUCUCUUUAUUGGGACAUAAUUACCUUGGAGAUCUUUCUUAUCUGAUUUAUUUUCGAUCCGUUGAUCUCGCCAUUUUUUAGUUUCAAAAUUUUCCUUAUUUUGACUGAUUUUCUUUAUUCUCUAAGCAAUUUCAUGUUUGUUUCAGGGUGCAAGUUUAAGGUUUGCAUUUUAUUAUCUGGUAUCUUCAAUCUCUACAGAACCCGCCAGGUUUAAAAAAACACAAGGAAGGCCACUGAAGGAGGAAUUACAGGUGCAAGUUUAAGGUUUGCUUUUUAUUAUCUGGUAUCUUCAAUCUCUACAGAACCCGCCAGGUAAAAAAAACACAAGGAAGGCCAUUGAAGGAGGAAUUACAGUUCUCUUUGUGAACUCUUUACCCUUUCUUCCAUAUUUUUCUUGCACGAUGAGGUGGAAUAGUUACAAGCUAUCAAAAUGUAUCGCUUCAAGAGGUGGAAACAUUCUCAAUUCUGAUAUUUUUGUAUCGAGCACAAGAAUGUAUAGAAGGAAGAAAGAUGAUAGCACCUACCUUUCAUUUUUUUCUGUUCUAUAGAGAAUUCAACUCGGACAUAUAAUUGCUUGUACACUUGCUGUUCGGCUUGUAGUUUUGCUUGUUUCCUUUUUCUAGAGAUGUUAGUCUUGUUUUUGUUUUUUCAGUUUUUGGUUAUUUGUCAACCUUAUUGAUGGGUUGCAAGAUUUACUUUUCUUUUUUUUUUUAUCAGCUCAGUAGUGGCAAGGAGAGUAAACUAAUUUGUUUUCUUAGGUAAUUUGUAGUUUGCCUUUUGUUGGAACUUUAUUUUGGUUGGCAAUGUCAACCUAGCAAGUUACCAGUGCCACAGGUAAUGAAGCCAUCCAUUUGUUACAAAAUAAAAUGGGUAUA